UAAACGACUCUCGGCAACGGAUAUCUCGGCUCUCGCAUCGAUGAAGAACGUAGCGAAAURCGAUACUUGGUGUGAAUUGCAGAAUCCCGUGAACCAUCGAGUCUUUGAACGCAAGUUGCGCCCGAAGCCGUCAGGCCGAGGGMACGUCUGCCUGGGCGUCACAC
This 164-nucleotide ribosomal RNA is filed under the name Hagenia abyssinica. Its description in RNAcentral is "5.8S ribosomal RNA". It matches the Rfam family "5.8S ribosomal RNA". Rfam says of the family: 5.8S ribosomal RNA (5.8S rRNA) is a component of the large subunit of the eukaryotic ribosome. Lineage: Eukaryota; Viridiplantae; Streptophyta; Magnoliopsida; Rosales; Rosaceae. The record is from RNAcentral.